RNAcentral lists this long non-coding RNA (1351 nucleotides) under Oryctolagus cuniculus (rabbit). Its description in RNAcentral is "lncRNA (ENSOCUG00000033877.1)". Lineage: Eukaryota; Metazoa; Chordata; Mammalia; Lagomorpha; Leporidae. The record is from RNAcentral.
AUGAGGGUCCAGGAGGGAGAGCUUCAGAGGUCACUGGGGGCUAGGGCGCCAGGGCAAGGUGGCACCCACAGCCCCACCUCCUUCCCACACCACCUGGCCUCCCUUAGUGGGACCAGCACCAGACAUGGAGCCCCCAGCGAAGUCUUUAGAUACCCAGACGUCGGGAGGCAGGGAGGCAGGCAAGCUGCCCAGAAGCCUCCACAGACACCCCCUCUUCUCCCGGGGGCAGACAGACGCACACUCUCACUGCACACGCCCCUCGGCAGCCCCACAGCAGCAGUCUGUUCCUCAUUAUGGGCCAAUGCGCCUGUUUACUCACCCAGCUGGAGAUGGUUAGAGAGUGAUAAAUAAUGAAAGAGAAAACAGGCUUUUCCCCUCUGCGGCUUCUAUUUAUGUAACAUGUGUCACAGUGCGCUCACAGACUUUGUUUCGGAGCUGGUUGCAGGAAAUAGUUUAUUUUUUCCGGACGGUGGCUUUAGGAGGUGGGGGUGGGGGGCCAGCGUUGGGGUUUCUGGUCUCACACCCAUGGGAACUUUGGGAUCUAGCUCUCAGAGCCCUCUUCUCCCAGGGCAGACAUCGUGGCUCGAGGUGGCCUCAGAAUAGGGUUCUCCCACCCCACUGAUCUGGAAGGAGCUGGUGGCUGAAGGCGCCUCACAGCUGCCUCUAAACCCUCCCAAACAGAUGGGCUGGUUGUGGGAGCCAGACAGCUGGAGGCUAGGCUCCCUGAGAAGAGGCAGUUGGACACGGAGCUUCCUAGGUAGCGUGCACCUGUUAGGGGAGAGGAUGCAGAAGGAUUCCUUCCAUGAAAUAAGAAUCACAGGACCCCCACUUGGUGUUCACUUAGCACAUUUGAAUCUGGGGGUCUCUCCAAGGCCUCGCAAGGUCUAAUUGCUGCUUCUCAACUGGGUAAUGGGGAGGGGCUUACCACGGUUUGCUCAACUGGUGGGUGAGGAGUCAGGACUUCAGAUUCAUGUCUCUGAUUCCAGAAGAAUCCUCACCCCUGCCUCACCUUCCUUCUCCCAGGAGUACCUCCUUGAUAAAGUUCUGGUCACAUGCAUGCUAAAGAAGGUGGUAGUUGUUAUAAAGGGGUGAGGAGUUGCCGCGUGGGGGAAUAGAAGCCAUCAGGGAUCUGAGAAGCCCCCUCCCUGUCCUGCCCCAGACUUUGUUUCGAAGCAGUGAGCCCCCACCUGAGCCUGUCCCUGAACACCAUGGCCAUGUCCCUGCUUCCUAUGGACAUGGAACUCCAGUGGCACCCCAGGCCACCUGCUGGGGGAACCCAGAGGUACUGCCCUUAAAGGAAUGCAGAGUCUACUAUGGAAGGUAGACUCAGAAGCUCCCAACUCUGGUGGAC